Molecule: ribosomal RNA, 157 nt
Filed under: Colletotrichum sublineola
Lineage: Eukaryota; Fungi; Ascomycota; Sordariomycetes; Glomerellales; Glomerellaceae
Description: 5.8S ribosomal RNA
Source: RNAcentral
CAACCCUCAAGCUUCGCUUGGUGUUGGGGCACUACGGUUGACGUAGGCCCUCAAAAGUAGUGGCGGACCCUCCCGGAGCCUCCUUUGCGUAGUAACUAACGUCUCGCAUCGGGAUCCGGAGGGACUCUUGCCGUAAAACCCCCUAACUUUUAACUGG